GGGAAUAUUGGACAAUGGGCGCAAGCCUGAUCCAGCCAUGCCGCGUGGGUGAAGAAGGCCUUCGGGUUGUAAAGCCCUUUUGUCCGGGAAGAAAUCGUCUGGGCUAAUACCCCGGGCGGAUGACGGUACCGGAAGAAUAAGCACCGGCUAACUUCGUGCCAGCAGCCGCGGUAAUACGAAGGGUGCAAGCGUUACUCGGAAUUACUGGGCGUAAAGCGUGCGUAGGCGGUUCGUUAAGUCCGAUGUGAAAGCCCUGGGCUCAACCUGGGAACUGCAUUGGAAACUGGCGGGCUGGAGUGCGGUAGAGGGUGGCGGAAUUCCCGGUGUAGCAGUGAAAUGCGUAGAUAUCGGGAGGAACACCCGUGGCGAAGGCGGCCACCUGGACCAGCACUGACGCUGAGGCACGAAAGCGUGGGGAGCAAACAGG
RNAcentral lists this ribosomal RNA (427 nucleotides) under uncultured bacterium. RNAcentral's name for it is "bacterial SSU rRNA". It matches the Rfam family "Bacterial small subunit ribosomal RNA", at positions 357 to 776 of the family's 1533-position model. The record is from RNAcentral.